Molecule: ribosomal RNA, 373 nt
Filed under: uncultured bacterium
Lineage: Bacteria
Description: bacterial SSU rRNA
Rfam family: Bacterial small subunit ribosomal RNA
Source: RNAcentral
ACGUAGGAGGCAAGCGUUAUCCGGAUUUACUGGGCGUAAAGCGCGUGCAGGCGGUUUGGAAAGUUGGAUGUGAAAGCUCCCGGCUUAACUGGGAGAGGUCGUUCAAUACUUCCAGACUAGAGGAUGUGAGAGGAGAGUGGAAUUCCGAGUGUAGUGGUGAAAUGCGUAGAUAUUCGGAGGAACACCAGUGGCGAAAGCGGCUCUCUGGCACAUUUCUGACGCUCAGACGCGAAAGCUAGGGUAGCAAACGGGAUUAGAGACCCCGGUAGUCCUAGCUGUAAACGAUGUAGACUUGGUGUUGGUGGGGUAAAAUCCGCCAGUACCGUAGCUAACGCGAUAAGUCUACCGCCUGGGGACUACGGCCGCAAGGUUA